GCCAGGUAUGGUUGUGCAUACCUGUAGUCCCAGCUUCUUGGAAGGCUGAGGCAGGAGGAUUGCUUGAGCCCAGGAGAUCUCGGCUACUGUGAGCCACAAUUGUGCCACUGCACUCCAGCCUGGGCGACAGAGUGAGACCCUGUCUCAA
This is a non-coding RNA of Pan troglodytes (chimpanzee), 148 nucleotides long. It matches the Rfam family "Metazoan signal recognition particle RNA". From Rfam's summary of the family: The signal recognition particle (SRP) is a universally conserved ribonucleoprotein. It is involved in the co-translational targeting of proteins to membranes. The record is from Rfam. Lineage: Eukaryota; Metazoa; Chordata; Mammalia; Primates; Hominidae.